This 67-nucleotide transfer RNA is filed under the name Histeroidea sp. 2 KM-2017. RNAcentral's name for it is "tRNA-Val". Lineage: Eukaryota; Metazoa; Arthropoda; Insecta; Coleoptera. The record is from RNAcentral.
CAAAUUAGAGCUUGAAUUAAAGCAUCUUAGUUACAUUAAGAGGAUAUCAAUAGUUUGAUUGAUUUGA